GGUUAAGCGACUAAGCGUACACGGUGGAUGCCCUGGCAGUCAGAGGCGAUGAAGGACGUGCUAAUCUGCGAAAAGCGUCGGUAAGGUGAUAUGAACCGUUAUAACCGGCGAUGUCCGAAUGGGGAAACCCAGUGCAAUUCGUUGCACUAUCGUUAACUGAAUACAUAGGUUAACGAGGCGAACCGGGGGAACUGAAACAUCUAAGUACCCCGAGGAAAAGAAAUCAACCGAGAUUCCCCCAGUAGCGGCGAGCGAACGGGGAGCAGCCCAGAGUCUGAAUCAGCUUGUGUGUUAGUGGAACGGUCUGGAAAGUCCGACGGUACAGGGUGAUAGUCCCGUACACCAAAAUGCACAGGUUGUGAACUCGAAGAGUAGGGCGGGACACGUGGUAUCCUGUCUGAAUAUGGGGGGACCAUCCUCCAAGGCUAAAUACUCCUGACUGACCGAUAGUGAACCAGUACCGUGAGGGAAAGGCGAAAAGAACCCCGGCGAGGGGAGUGAAAAAGAACCUGAAACCGUGUACGUACAAGCAGUGGGAGCACCUUCGGGUGUGACUGCGUACCUUUUGUAUAAUGGGUCAGCGACUUAUAUUCUGUAGCAAGGUUAACCGUAUAGGGGAGCCGCAGGGAAACCGAGUCUUAACUGGGCGUUAAGUUGCAGGGUAUAGACCCGAAACCCGGUGAUCUAGCCAUGGGCAGGUUGAAGGUUGGGUAACACUAACUGGAGGACCGAACCGACUAAUGUUGAAAAAUUAGCGGAUGACUUGUGGCUGGGGGUGAAAGGCCAAUCAAACCGGGAGAUAGCUGGUUCUCCCCGAAAGCUAUUUAGGUAGCGCCUCGUGAACUCAUCUUCGGGGGUAGAGCACUGUUUCGGCUAGGGGGUCAUCCCGACUUACCAACCCGAUGCAAACUACGAAUACCGAAGAAUGUUAUCACGGGAGACACACGGCGGGUGCUAACGUCCGUCGUGAAGAGGGAAACAACCCAGACCGCCAGCUAAGGUCCCAAAGUCAUGGUUAAGUGGGAAACGAUGUGGGAAGGCACAGACAGCCAGGAUGUUGGCUUAGAAGCAGCCAUCAUUUAAAGAAAGCGUAAUAGCUCACUGGUCGAGUCGGCCUGCGCGGAAGAUGUAACGGGGCUAAACCAUGCACCGAAGCUGCGGCAGCGACACUAUGUGUUGUUGGGUAGGGGAGCGUUCUGUAAGCCUGCGAAGGUGUGCUGUGAGGCAUGCUGGAGGUAUCAGAAGUGCGAAUGCUGACAUAAGUAACGAUAAAGCGGGUGAAAAGCCCGCUCGCCGGAAGACCAAGGGUUCCUGUCCAACGUUAAUCGGGGCAGGGUGAGUCGACCCCUAAGGCGAGGCCGAAAGGCGUAGUCGAUGGGAAACAGGUUAAUAUUCCUGUACUUGGUGUUACUGCGAAGGGGGGACGGAGAAGGCUAUGUUAGCCGGGCGACGGUUGUCCCGGUUUAAGCAUGUAGGCUGGUUGUCCAGGCAAAUCCGGAUAAUCAAGGCUGAGGUGUGAUGACGAGGCACUACGGUGCUGAAGUAACAAAUGCCCUGCUUCCAGGAAAAGCCUCUAAGCAUCAGGUAACAUCAAAUCGUACCCCAAACCGACACAGGUGGUCAGGUAGAGAAUACCAAGGCGCUUGAGAGAACUCGGGUGAAGGAACUAGGCAAAAUGGUGCCGUAACUUCGGGAGAAGGCACGCUGGUGUGUAGGUGAAGUCCCUGCGGAUGGAGCUGAGACCAGUCGAAGAUACCAGCUGGCUGCAACUGUUUAUUAAAAACACAGCACUGUGCAAACACGAAAGUGGACGUAUACGGUGUGACGCCUGCCCGGUGCCGGAAGGUUAAUUGAUGGGGUUAUCCGUAAGGAGAAGCUCUUGAUCGAAGCCCCGGUAAACGGCGGCCGUAACUAUAACGGUCCUAAGGUAGCGAAAUUCCUUGUCGGGUAAGUUCCGACCUGCACGAAUGGCGUAAUGAUGGCCAGGCUGUCUCCACCCGAGACUCAGUGAAAUUGAACUCGCUGUGAAGAUGCAGUGUACCCGCGGCAAGACGGAAAGACCCCGUGAACCUUUACUAUAGCUUGACACUGAACAUUGAGCCUUGAUGUGUAGGAUAGGUGGGAGGCUUUGAAGCGUGGACGCCAGUCUGCGUGGAGCCAACCUUGAAAUACCACCCUUUAAUGUUUGAUGUUCUAACGUUGGCCCCU
This 2208-nucleotide ribosomal RNA is filed under the name Klebsiella pneumoniae. RNAcentral describes it as "partial 23S ribosomal RNA". It matches the Rfam family "Bacterial large subunit ribosomal RNA", at positions 1 to 2236 of the family's 2925-position model. The record is from RNAcentral. Lineage: Bacteria; Pseudomonadati; Pseudomonadota; Gammaproteobacteria; Enterobacterales; Enterobacteriaceae.